This 2301-nucleotide long non-coding RNA is filed under the name Triticum aestivum (bread wheat). Its description in RNAcentral is "long non-coding RNA (TAES_LNC019890)". The record is from RNAcentral. Lineage: Eukaryota; Viridiplantae; Streptophyta; Magnoliopsida; Poales; Poaceae.
UAUUCCAUAAGAGUGGAAUAGGAAAUUAAGAUGAGGAUGGUAUCAUCAUAAAGAAAGAUAGAGUAAUAUAAUAUCCUAAAUUCUACUAAUCCACAUAUCGUAUGUGUGUCUUUCUUUAUCUUUAUCGAUCGGGAGUAGUGAAAAAAAAUUCCUAUAUGCCUUCCCUCCCUCUUUAAUGAGGGAUGCAAAAUAAAAAAGUGAAGUAAGGGUGCCCUGUGGGUAUUUGAUCUUGCUCCCUGCCCCUUUUUUUCAUGGAAAAAGGAAAUAUCAAUUUCUCCAUUCAUUGAACCCUAGUUCGGGACUGACGGGGCUCGAACCCGCAGCUUCCGCCUUGACAGGGCGGUGCUCUGACCAAUUGAACUACAAUCCCCGCGGGGUGUAUGGCAUACCCAUUCUUAAAUAGAACCAUAAGAAGAUUCGAUUCGUCUUUCGUACUCUAAGAAAUAGACGAAUCAUAUACUACAUACCCACAUAUUAUAUUAUACGUGGGUAUAGUGAGAGUGACAUAACUAGUAUGUCGUGAUUUUUUAUCACUAAAAAUGGAUAAUAAUCCAGCCUUCAAUAAGAAAAACUCUUUUGUUUGUAAGAAAGGAAUGAGAGAGAUAUGGAUUAGAAAAAAAAAAUUUCCCUUUUUUCUUUAUCUUUUAUUUCUAUAGAUCAGACAUUUUAUUUUAUGGAAGAAAAACAAAAGGAUUUAGUUCAUACUCACGAAGCCCUAGAUUUUUGGUUUGGGCCGAGCUGGAUUUGAACCAGCGUAGACAUUGUCAACGAAUUUACAGUCCGUCCCCAUUAACCACUCGGGCAUCGACCCAGGAAGAAUUUAUUCUAGGGUUUUUGCUAAUCUAUGAUUAACCUCCUUUCAUAAUACUCCCUACCCCCAGGGGAAGUCGAAUCCCCGCUGCCUCCUUGAAAGAGAGAUGUCCUGAACCACUAGACGAUAGGGGCAUCACUAGACGAUAGGGCCAUAUACAACCGCUCGUGAUUAUACUAUAAUCAUAGUAUGAGCAGUUUUUUGGAAUUGUCAAUAUACUCGAAAAGUAUAAAUAGAUCCAAAGCAAAGAGUUUUUCCAACUUUUUUGUUUGUAAGAAAGGAAUGAGAGAGAUAUGGAUUAGAAAAAAAAUUUCCCUUUUUUCUUUAUCUUUUAUUUCUAUAGAUCAGACAUUUUAUUUUAUGGAAGAAAAACAAAUGGAAGAAAAACAAAAGGAUUUAGUUCAUAUUCAUGAAGCCCUAGAUUUUUGGUUUGGGCCGAGCUGGAUUUGAACCAGCGUAGACAUUGUCAACGAAUUUACAGUCCGUCCCCAUUAACCACUCGGGCAUCGACCCAGGAAGAAUUUAUUCUAGGGUUUUUGCUAAUCUAUGAUUAACCUCCUUUCAUAAUACUCCCUACCCCCAGGGGAAGUCGAAUCCCCGCUGCCUCCUUGAAAGAGAGAUGUCAUGAACCACUAGACGAUAGGGGCAUCACUAGACGAUAGGGCCAUAUACAACCGCUCGUGAUUAUACUAUAAUCAUAGUAUGAGCAGUUUUUUGGAAUUGUCAAUAUACUCGAAAAGUAUAAAUAGAUCCAAAGCAAAGAGUUUUUCCAACUUUUCUGUUAUGUUUUCAUCUAGGAUUUUUUUUAGUUGAUCGUUAUAGAUUAAUUCUCCGUGCUUCAUUUAGUGUUCAGACCAAAAAUGCAUCCAUCCCGCACUAAGUCAUAAAAUUCUCUAAAAAUAUAGAGAAAGUUUCAAAAACAAAGAACAAAAGUGAAUCAAUUUAGUAGAAAAGUACUCUAUCAGAUUCGAACCAACGACUUACGUCUUAGCACGAGAUUACUCUACCACUAAUUUAAAAAGCCCUUUAUCGGAUUUGAACCGAUGACUUAUGCCUUACCAUGGCAUUACUCUACCACUGAGUUAAAAGGGCUUUUUAUUUAAUUCAAAAAUUAGCCACUUGGAUUUCCCAUUAUGGGUCUACUGCAUAAUGUACAUAUUAUAUAUAUAAUAUAUAGAGAUAGAGAGAGAGACAUUAUGUAGAGAUUGUAUAUGUAUAUAUCGAUAUCUUGAGAGCUCAAAAUAAAAUUAAUAAAAAAAAACAUACCCUACAUAACAUAUCCAACUCUUCUUGGUUCAGGGUUUUCCGUUUCCGAAGACUAGUAAAAUAGGCGGAUUCUGGAACCCCAAGGAUUCAACGGUAUAUGGAUAUGGAAAAUAUAAGAUUUCCGAUCCUAGCGGGAAAAGGCGGGGAACAGAUACCCAAUAGGAUAUAGGAUCCUUGGGAGGAACUUUUGGUAAUGGCCUUGAUCCUCUAUGCUAUUUUUUAUG